GGUUAUUAAAAAUAUAAGAACAUUUUCCGAAUCAAGUUAGUUAGUCAGAUAAAACAACCGUACGAUUGACAAGAUAUCGACACGUAAUUACGACAACAUCGGUUACUGUAGUUUUGUUUCUUUAUGGUUUAUAGACAUAUCGUGAUUUUUAUUUGGACAAGAUAACAAAAUGGCGGAACGCAAAGAACUGAUACUCAAAAUUUAAAAUCGAUGGUGAUCUCUUAUCUAGCGGAAUAAAACUUUAAUAUUUAUAAAUUUGAUCAUUUUUAUACAGAAUGGACAUAAUAUGAAUUUUUGAUUUUUUUGCGAAGUUUCCCUUUAAGGU
RNAcentral lists this long non-coding RNA (325 nucleotides) under Mytilus galloprovincialis (Mediterranean mussel). The record is from RNAcentral. Lineage: Eukaryota; Metazoa; Mollusca; Bivalvia; Mytilida; Mytilidae.